AGACCGAGGGGCGGAUGCAGCCUACCUCCUGGGCAGGGAGCUGCGGUCUGAGGCCCCUGCCCAGCUGGAAACCACAGGGAGGGGAAGGGAGGGGAGGGGAGGAGAGGAGAGGAGAGGAACCGUCAUGGGGCCUUGGAGUCGAGUCAGGGUUGCCAAAUGCCAGAUGCUGGUCACCUGCUUCUUUAUCUUGCUGCUGGGCCUCUCUGAGGCCACCAUAGUGACUCUUACCUACUUCGGGGCCCACUUUGCUGUCAUCCGCCAAGCGUCCCUGGAGAAGAACCCAUCCCAGGCUAUGCACCAAUGGGCCUUCUCUGCGGGGUUGAGCCUGGUGGGCCUCCUGACUCUGGGAGCUGUGCUGAGCGCUGCAGCCACCGUGAGGGAGGCCCAGGGCCUCAUGGCGGGGGGCUUCCUGUGCUUCUCCCUGGCGUUCUGCGCACAGGUGCAGGUGGUGUUCUGGAGACUCCACAGCCCCACCCAGGUGGAGGAUGCCAUGCUGGACACCUACGACCUGGUAUAUGAGCAGGCGAUGAAAGGCACAUCCCACGUCUGGCGGCAGGAGCUGGCGGCCAUCCAGGACGUGUUUCUGUGCUGUGGGAAGAGGUCUCCUUUCAGCCGUCUGGGGAACACAGAGGCUGACCUGUGUCAGGGAGAGGAGACGGCAAGAGAGGUGAGGGGGGGACCUGGAUGCUGGCCAGGCAAGACCCUCGGGGGCUGGACACCCUGGGGCCCA
RNAcentral lists this small RNA (730 nucleotides) under Pongo abelii (Sumatran orangutan). RNAcentral describes it as "retained intron". The record is from RNAcentral. Lineage: Eukaryota; Metazoa; Chordata; Mammalia; Primates; Hominidae.